UCAAACAGCUGGUGAAUUAGCUCAAAUGGUAGAGCGCUCGCUUAUCAAUGGAGAGGUAUAACGUUAGGUGGUGGUCCGAAGCAUCGUAUCUGCUAUAGCUUUCGAGAUGAUCGGUCUCUGGCGAGGGAGGAGCUGGUUUUUACAUUUUAUUUAUCCUGAACACAUUCCCGUUUGUUGGCAAUGUCAAUUAUUGCAAAUUUUUUCAAAAUACUUUUAUGUUCGCUAGUUGGACAGGCAAACGCUACCAAGUACUAAAUAGUAAACCAAUCAAAACUCGUGUACUAUCCAGGUACCAUCAUCUGCUGAUCACGUCUGCCAAUCACGUUCUCCGUGCCUAAGGUACGUAAACACAACUGGCGACAACUCGAGAGAGAUCUCAGUCUGAAACUGCAAUCAGAUCUAUUCAGCUCCUCUCCUGUGUCCUGCUCCCAGAGAUCAAUCAAGUGCUAUACACCAUGCAUUGGCUCAGCUGAUUCACUCUCAUGCGAGGAGAAACAUCCAACCCACUUUGGACUAGCCCUGCCGUCACUAUUAGACAUUGAGACCUGUUAUUUUCUUUGUAUGUUUUGUCUUACAGUCUGUACACCUUCUAGUGCAUUUUAGAGUUGAAGAGCACAAACUACAGAUAAACAUGCUUGUUAGAGCAUCUCGAAGACUAAAUUCAAUAGAUUCAGUUUGACAAGGUGAAAAACUGAUUGUUUUACUAUUGUAACAUGCAGUUAGUGCCCCCCAGGCACUUCUCUCUCUAAAUACAUUGAUUGGUAGGUUACACUAUAUUUAGAUUGUUCAAAUACUGCCUGAGGCACCUUUGCUAUUUGUCUCCAUACUCAAUAAAUGGUGAGACACAAAA
Long non-coding RNA from Coregonus clupeaformis (lake whitefish), 850 nucleotides. RefSeq lists it as uncharacterized. NCBI's taxonomy places the organism in Eukaryota, Metazoa, Chordata, Actinopteri, Salmoniformes, Salmonidae. The transcript is spliced from 2 exons. The record is from RefSeq and is a predicted model, not a curated record.